Molecule: small nucleolar RNA, 142 nt
Filed under: Myotis lucifugus (little brown bat)
Lineage: Eukaryota; Metazoa; Chordata; Mammalia; Chiroptera; Vespertilionidae
Description: Small nucleolar RNA SNORA42/SNORA80 family (ENSMLUG00000019286.1)
Source: RNAcentral
GCAUUAUUUUCUUUAAAAAUCAGUGUUCACCUGCCCAUCCUCCUGAGUCUCUCAUAGUGCCCAUGCCAGAGCUAGCUAUGGCCUUGAACUAUUGCCUGCCCUCUACCCCUAGGCUACAGGCAUUGAAACAGGUUACACAAUG